GAAGAUGCAGUGUACCCGCGGCUAGACGGAAAGACCCCGUGAACCUUUACUGCAGCUUGACACUGAACUUUGACCUUACUUGUGUAGGAUAGGUGCGACGCUUUGAAGCUGGUACGCUAGUUCCAGUGGAGCCGUCCUAGAAAUACCACCCUGGUAAUGUUGAGGUUCUAACUCUGUCCCGUGAUCCGGGACGAGGACCGUGUCUGGUGGGUAGUUUGACUGGGGCGGUCUCCUCCUAAAGAGUAACGGAGGAGUACGAAGGUGCGCUCAGCGUGGUCGGAAAUCACGCGUAGAGUAUAAAGGCAAAAGCGCGCUUAACUGCGAGACCCACAAGUCGAGCAGGUACGAAAGUAGGUCUUAGUGAUCCGGUGGUUCUGUAUGGAAGGGCCAUCGCUCAACGGAUAAAAGGUACUCUGGGGAUAACAGGCUGAUACCGCCCAAGAGUUCAUAUCGACGGCGGUGUUUGGCACCUCGAUGUCGGCUCAUCUCAUCCUGGGGCUGAAGCAGGUCCCAAGGGUAUGGCUGUUCGCCAUUUAAAGAGGUACGCGAGCUGGGUUUAGAACGUCGUGAGACAGUUCGGUCCCUAUCUACCGUGGGCGCUGGAAAUUUGAGAGGAUCUGCUCCUAGUACGAGAGGACCAGAGUGGACGAACCUCUGGUGUACCGGUUGUGACGCCAGUCGCAUCGCCGGGUAGCUAUGUUCGGAAGGGAUAACCGCUGAAAGCAUCUAAGCGGGAAGCCUACCUCAAGAUAAGAUUUCCCUAGGACUUUAUGUCCUCUAAAGAGCCGUUCGAGACUAGGACGUUGAUAGGUUGGAUGUGGAAGCAUAGUGAUAUGUGAAGCUGACCAAUACUAAUUGCUCGUGAGGCUUGACUAUACAACACCCAAGCAGUUG
This 894-nucleotide ribosomal RNA is filed under the name Acinetobacter baumannii. RNAcentral's name for it is "bacterial LSU rRNA". It matches the Rfam family "Bacterial large subunit ribosomal RNA", at positions 2055 to 2925 of the family's 2925-position model. The record is from RNAcentral. Lineage: Bacteria; Pseudomonadati; Pseudomonadota; Gammaproteobacteria; Moraxellales; Moraxellaceae.